This 484-nucleotide ribosomal RNA is filed under the name uncultured bacterium. RNAcentral describes it as "partial 16S ribosomal RNA". It matches the Rfam family "Bacterial small subunit ribosomal RNA", at positions 28 to 523 of the family's 1533-position model. The record is from RNAcentral.
GACGAACGCUGGCGGCGUGCUUAACACAUGCAAGUCGAACGAUGAAGCCGGAGCUUGCUCUGGUGAAUUAGUGGCGAACGGGUGAGUAACACGUGAGUAACCUGCCCUUGACUCUGGGAUAACUGCGGGAAACUGUAGCUAAUACCGGAUACGACCCUCGGAGGCAUCUCCUGGGGGUGGAAAGAAUUUCGGUCAAGGAUGGACUCGCGGCCUAUCAGCUAGUUGGUGAGGUAAAGGCUCACCAAGGCGACGACGGGUAGCCGGCCUGAGAGGGUGACCGGCCACACUGGGACUGGGACACGGCCCAGACUCCUACGGGAGGCAGCAGUGGGGAAUAUUGCACAAUGGGCGCAGGCCUGAUGCAGCGACGCCGCGUGAGGGAUGACGGCCUUCGGGUUGUAAACCUCUUUCAGCAUCGACGAAGCGAAAGUGACGGUAGGUGCAGAAGAAGGACCGGCCAACUACGUGCCAGCAGCCGCAGUAA